AAUCAUUAGCCUCUUAAUUAGGGGCUAGAAUGAAAGGUUCAACAUUUCCUUAACUUUUCUAAAAAUUUCUAAAAAAUCUAUAUUAAAUAUAAAAAUAUAUUUAUAUCUCAAUUAGACGACAAGACCCUUUCAAACUUUACUGAAGUUUAGCUGGGGUAGCUAAAUAAAAAUUAUCUUAUUAAUAAAUACAAAAAUAGACCCAAUUUUAAUUGAUUAAAUGAACAAGUUACUGAAGGGAUAACAGCAUAAUAAAUUUAUAUAGCUCUUAUUAAAAAAUUAGUUUAUGACCUCGAUGUUGAAUUAUUUUACUUCUACACGCAAGAGUAUAGAAAGUAGGUCUGUUCGACCUUUAAAUUUU
RNAcentral lists this ribosomal RNA (358 nucleotides) under Tetragnatha sp. Its description in RNAcentral is "partial large subunit ribosomal RNA". Lineage: Eukaryota; Metazoa; Arthropoda; Arachnida; Araneae; Tetragnathidae. The record is from RNAcentral.